Molecule: long non-coding RNA, 1239 nt
Filed under: Oreochromis niloticus (Nile tilapia)
Lineage: Eukaryota; Metazoa; Chordata; Actinopteri; Cichliformes; Cichlidae
Description: lncRNA (ENSONIG00000033234.1)
Source: RNAcentral
AUUUUUUUUAACAGUGUAACUUUUUGUUUACAUAAUAAACUAUUAUGACAUUCCCUGUUUAAUCAUGUUUUCAAAUCAUACUUGAUGCUUUGAGUGUUUUAAUGCAGAUUUGUUGUAACUAAAUUUUGUGAUACAGUCAAAAAAAAUUACUGGCUUUAUACAUUUGUCAAAUCAGUCUCAUGUUUAAAAAAGGACUCCUCUGCACUACAUUUAUUGUUUUUCAACCACAAUUUACAGGAACCAUGAAAAACCUACCACCGGGAGAAAAAAACGUCACAGAUUUUGAGUGUGGUUUCUGUUUGGACCCUCUUCUAUUUAAUUCUGCAGUCAUGCCUUAUAUCUUGAUCUCUCUGCCUGCUAAUAGCUGGGUGCUAUGGCUGAUGAAAUCAUCUCCCGUCUUCUGGACAGAUCGGAUGGAUGUCUCUGAGUUCCACUUGGUCCUCACAGAGCUACUUUUUGGAUUCCUGGGGCCACCCUUAAUGAUUAUAAGCUUUUAUGUCAAUACCGAAAUGAUACAAAUGGUGUCUAAAGUCAUCAACACAAUAUUUACAGCCAGGAUUCAGUUUCAGUGCAGUGUCUGCAUAGAACGCUAUCUUGCAGUGGUGCAUCCCUUGUUAUAUCUCAGGUAUAAACCUUUAAGGUACAGGAUGAGCUUUUGUUGUGUAAUGUGGUUGCAAUCCAUCCUGCCUGUUUUAGCAGAAAUAUACUUGUGCAAUCGCAUAACAAUGGGCAUUUAUACCACUUGUGUUGUGUUUGUCUUCAUCAUCAACUCGUUCUGCUCCAUAUCAGUUCUUAGAGCACUGAAACAGCCAUCACCAGGUGAGGGAGAGAGGGAGAGAUCCAAUUUGGUAAAGAGAAGGGCUUUCAAUAUAGUCCUGACAUUCCAGAUGACUACAAUUGUUGGUUAUGUACCUUUGAUUACUGUGUUCUACUUAGCUGGGAAAUUGGACAGGAACAUACUAUGUAUUUGGCAGCCCUUGACCUAUGCUCUAAUGAUUUGGCUUGGUGGUUUCUAUGCUCUCUUCUAUCUCCGCAGAGCUGGGAAACUCACACGAAAUCAUUUAUUUGCAAAUUGUUUUAAGCAUAGCUACACUUGAAACUGCUUUUCCUUUAUUUGUAAAAUUUGCAUUUCCAUUCCUUUGUUUUAGAAAUACAUGGCAUUGAAUAGUUAGUAUUCUUUGUACUAUUUAUUUGGGCUUUAGCUUUUAAAGUAAAAUCUUGACCCAAGAAUAGCCAGCC